RNAcentral lists this ribosomal RNA (529 nucleotides) under uncultured bacterium. RNAcentral's name for it is "bacterial SSU rRNA". It matches the Rfam family "Bacterial small subunit ribosomal RNA", at positions 777 to 1304 of the family's 1533-position model. The record is from RNAcentral.
AAUAGAUACCCCGGUAGUCCACGCCCUAAACGAUGUCUACUAGUUGUUGGUGGAGUAAAAUCCAUUAGUAACGCAGCUAACGCGUGAAGUAGACCGCCUGGGGAGUACGGUCGCAAGAUUAAAACUCAAAGGAAUUGACGGGGGCCCGCACAAGCGGUGGAUUAUGUGGAUUAAUUCGAUGCAACGCGAAAACCUUACCUGGCCUUGACAUGCCACUAACGAAGCAGAGAUGCAUUAGGUGCCCGAAAGGGAAAGUGGACACAGGUGCUGCACGGCUGUCGUCAGCUCGUGUCGUGAGAUGUUGGGUUAAGUCCCGCAACGAGCGCAACCCUUGCCAAUAAUUGCCAUCAUUCAGUUGGGCACUUUAUUGGGACUGCCGGUGACAAACCGGAGGAAGGUGGGGAUGACGUCAAGUCCUCAUGGCCCUUAUGGCCAGGGCUUCACACGUAAUACAAUGGUCGGUACAGAGGGUAGCCAAGCCGCGAGGUGGAGCCAAUCCCAGAAAGCCGAUCGUAGUCCGGAUUGCAGU